This is an RNA transcript of Myotis daubentonii (Daubenton's bat), 1382 nucleotides long. It is a transcript of the gene named proline-rich protein 36-like, with no coding region annotated. NCBI's taxonomy places the organism in Eukaryota, Metazoa, Chordata, Mammalia, Chiroptera, Vespertilionidae. The transcript is spliced from 3 exons. The record is from RefSeq and is a predicted model, not a curated record.
CGCCGUUGGUGGACGAGGCGCCGCCGCCGCCGCCGCCCGCCGGGCUCUUGGCGCUGCCGUUGACCGACCGGUUCUUCCCCAGCAACUCGGGCCCUUUCUCCAUCAUGCCGGGCAUGUUUGGGAGUGGGGGCUGUCAGUGGUGACAUGAGGACGGGGUUCUUGCCUACUUGGCGCCUGCCCAGUGGGUGCUGCUGCCCUGUGGUCAGGGCUUGGGGCCGAGCUGUAGAGGGCGGAGCCCUGAAGCAGAGAGGCCCAGCGCACGAAAUCAUGCACGAGUAGUUCGCCGCCGCUUGCCGCCACUCACCGCCCUGCCCGCUGCUGCUCGUCGUUCACCGCCCAGCCCACAGCCGCUCAUCGCUCGCCGCCCCGCCUGCAGCCGCUCCUCACUCACCACCCUGCCUGCAGCCCUUCUUCGCUCGCGGCCCAGCCUGCAGCCACUCGUUGCUCGCCGCCCUGCUCGUCGCUCCACCCGCAGCAGCUUGUUGCUCACCACCCUGCCUGCGGCCGCUCAUCGCCCACGACCCAGCCCACAGCCACUGAUCACUCGUCGCUCCGCCCGCCGCCGCUCAUUGCUCCGCCUGCUGCCACUCACGCGUCGCUCACCAUCCUGCCUGCAGCCGCUUGUGGCUCGCCGCCCUGUCCGCAGCCGCUCAUCACUGGCCGCCCCGCCCACAGCUGCUCCUCGCUUGCCAGCCCACCUUCAGCCGCUCGUCACUCGCGGCCCAGCCCACGGCCACUCGACACUCACCGCCCCACGUGUCGCUCCGCCCGCCGCCACGUCGCUGGGCCCACAGCCACUUGUCACUCGCCGCACCGCCCGCAGCCGCUCAUCGCUCACCGCACCGCCCACCACCGCUCGUCACUCACCACCCCGCCCACCGCCACUUGUCACUCCCCCCGCCGCUGCUCGUCACUCGCCGCCCCGCCCGCCGCUGCUCAUGGCUCACCAACCCGCCCGCUGCUGCUCAGGGCUCACUGCUCCGCUUGUCACUCCGCCGGCCGCCGCUCAUCGCUCGCCACCUCGCCCACCGCCGCUCGUGGCUUGCCAACCCGCUCCUCGCUCCGCCCGCAGCCGCUCCUCGCUGGUCACUCUGCCUGCAGCUGCUGGUCGCUCGCCACCCCGCCCGCCACCGCUCAUUGCCCCGACCGCCGCCGCUCGUCGCUCCUCCCGCCACCACUCGCCGCCCUGCCCUCCACCACUCGCAGGCCAGGGUGGAGGGACUGAGGGGUGGUCAAUGCAUCUCAUGGCGACUGGUCGAGCGGCCGUUCCGCUUGUGACGGUUAUGGUCCCUGGCCUUUUAUUAUAUAGGAUACAAGCACUGAACAAUUAGAAAAUGAAUUUUUUAAAAGAAAUCCUAUAUAAUAAAGAGCUAAUAUGCAAA